RNAcentral lists this ribosomal RNA (517 nucleotides) under uncultured bacterium. RNAcentral describes it as "bacterial LSU rRNA". It matches the Rfam family "Bacterial large subunit ribosomal RNA", at positions 2166 to 2684 of the family's 2925-position model. The record is from RNAcentral.
GGGCGUCAGCUGCUUGCGGAGCACCCUUGGGAUACACCCUUGCGAUAUUGGAAUUCUAACCUGCGGCCCUGAAUCGGUCGGGGGACAGUUGUUAGUGGGCAGUUUGACUGGGCGGUCGCCUCCAAAAGAGUAACGGAGGAGUGCAAAGGUACCCUCAGCCCGGUCGGCAAUCGGGCGUCGAGCGCAAUGGUAGAAGGGUGCUUGACUGCGAGACUCAUAAGUCGAGCAGAUACGAAAGUAGGUCAUAGUGAUCCGGUGGUACCGGAUGGAAGGGCCAUCGCUCAUCAGAUAAAAGGUACUCUGGGGAUAACAGGCUGAUCGCUACCGAGCGUCCACAGCGGCGUAGCGGUUUGGCACCUCGAUGUCGGCUCAUCACAUCCUGGGGGUGAAGAAGCUCCCAAGGGUUUGGCUGUUCGCCAAUGAAAGUGGUACGUGAGCUGGGUUCAGACCGUCGUGAGACAGGUCGGUCCCUAUCUGCUGCGGGCGCACGAAACUUGCGGAGGUUCUUCUUUAGUAC